UACGAAGGGGGCUAGCGUUGCUCGGAAUCACUGGGCGUAAAGGGUGCGUAUGCGGGUCUUUAAGUCAGGGGUGAAAUCCUGGAGCUCAACUCCAGAACUGCCUUUGAUACUGAAGAUCUUGAGUUCGGGAGAGGUGAGUGGAACUGCGAGUGUAGAGGUGAAAUUCGUAGAUAUUCGCAAGAACACCAGUGGCGAAGGCGGCUCACUGGCCCGAUACUGACGCUGAGGCACGAAAGCGUGGGGAGCAAACAGG
Molecule: ribosomal RNA, 253 nt
Filed under: uncultured bacterium
Lineage: Bacteria
Description: partial 16S ribosomal RNA
Rfam family: Bacterial small subunit ribosomal RNA
Source: RNAcentral